This 376-nucleotide ribosomal RNA is filed under the name Clostridioides difficile. RNAcentral's name for it is "partial 23S ribosomal RNA". It matches the Rfam family "Bacterial large subunit ribosomal RNA", at positions 685 to 1060 of the family's 2925-position model. The record is from RNAcentral. Lineage: Bacteria; Bacillati; Bacillota; Clostridia; Peptostreptococcales; Peptostreptococcaceae.
UAACUGAGCGAUCAGUUACUUGACGUAGACCCGAAACCGGGCGACCUACCCAUGAGCAGGAUGAAGCGAAAGGAAAAUUUCGUGGAGGUCCGAACCCACGAGCGUUGAAAAGCUCGGGGAUGACUUGUGGGAAGCGGUGAAAAUCCAAUCGAGCCCGGAGAUAGCUGGUUCUCCCCGAAAUAGCUUUAGGGCUAGACUCAAAGUCGAGAGAUACGGAGGUAGAGCAAUGAAUAUCCUAGGGGGUAUUUCACCUACCGAAGACUUUCAAACUCCGAAUUCCGGCAUCUUAUUCUUUGUAGUCAGACUUUGGGUUAUAAGAUUCAUAGUCGAAAAGGCAACAGCCCAGCUCAUCAGCUAAUGUCCCUAAAUGUAAGUU